Molecule: non-coding RNA, 113 nt
Filed under: Streptomyces sp.
Lineage: Bacteria; Bacillati; Actinomycetota; Actinomycetes; Kitasatosporales; Streptomycetaceae
Also listed under: 1 other name
Description: TPP sequence
Rfam family: TPP riboswitch aptamer (THI element)
About the family: Vitamin B(1) in its active form thiamin pyrophosphate (TPP) is an essential coenzyme that is synthesised by coupling of pyrimidine and thiazole moieties in bacteria. The previously detected thiamin-regulatory element, thi box was extended, resulting in a new, highly conserved RNA secondary structure, the THI element, which is widely distributed in eubacteria and also occurs in some archaea.
Source: RNAcentral
AAAGGCACCCGCGGGAGCCCGGCGCACCGGGCUGAGAGGGAGGCUCGAUCGGCCUCCGACCGUAUGCACCUGAUCCGGGUCAUGCCGGCGAAGGGAGGAGGCGCGUUGGAUUC